RNAcentral lists this ribosomal RNA (1324 nucleotides) under uncultured organism. RNAcentral's name for it is "16S ribosomal RNA". It matches the Rfam family "Bacterial small subunit ribosomal RNA", at positions 93 to 1426 of the family's 1533-position model. The record is from RNAcentral.
GAGUGGCGAACGGGCGAGGAAUGCGUUUCUAACGUGCCCCAAGGUCGAGGAUAGCUCGGGGAAACCCGGGGUAAUACUCGAUGACCCCCAUGGAUCGCAUGGUUCGUGGGGCAAAGGCUUGCUGCCUUGGGAUCGGGAAACGCCCUAUCAGGUUGUUGGUGAGGUAACGGCUCACCAAGCCUAAGACGGGUAGCGGGUGUGAGAGCAUGACCCGCCGCAUCGGGACUGAGACACUGCCCGGACUCCUACGGGAGGCUGCAGCAACGGAUAUUGGGCAAUGAGCGAAAGCUUGACCCAGCAAUGCCGCGUGCAGGAGGAAGCCCCUCGGGGUGUAAACUGCUGUCAGGGUUUAGGAAGUUCUGACCAAACCCAAAGGAAGGGCCGGCUAACUUCGUGCCAGCAGCCGCGGUAAUACGAAGGGCCCAAGCGUUAAUCGGAAUCACUGGGCUUAAAGGGUGCGCAGGCGGAAUGGUCAGUGUCUUGUGAAAUCCCACGGCUCAACCGUGGAACUGCAGGGCAUACUGCCAUUCUUGAGGCCGGUAGAGGCCGCCGGAACUCUAGGUGUAGCGGUGAAAUGCGUAGAUAUCUAGAGGAACGCCAAAGACGAAGGUAGGCGGCUGGGCCGGGUUCUGACGCUCAGGCACGAAAGCGUGGGGAGCAAACAGGAUUAGAUACCCUGGUAGUCCACGCCGUAAACGUUGUGCACUAGGUGCUGGAGGUUCUGACACCAUCAGCGCCGAAGCGAAAGUGAUUAGUGCACCGCCUGGGGAGUACGGUCGCAAGGCUAAAACUCAAAGGAAUUGACGGGGGCUCACACAAGCGGUGGAGCAUGUGGCUUAAUUCGAGGCAACGCGAAGAACCUUAUCCUGGGCUUGACAUGCAUGGAUUAACGCUGGGAAACCAGCGCCACAUUCUUUGAGUGGAACAUGCACAGGUGCUGCAUGGCUGUCGUCAGCUCGUGCUGUGAAGUGUUGGGUUAAGUCCCUUAACGAGCGAAACCCCUGUCGCUAGUUACCAUCGGGUAAUGCUGGGGACUCUAGCGAGACUGCCGGUGUCAAACCGGAGGAAGGCGGGGAUGACGUCAAGUCCUCAUGGCCUUUAUGCCCAGGGCUGCACACGUGCUACAAUGGCGCCGACAGAGCGAAGCAAAACCGCGAGGUAGAGCAAAUCGCAAAAAAGGUGCCCCAGUUCGGAUUGCAGUCUGCAACUCGACUGCAUGAAGCCGGAAUCGCUAGUAAUCGCGUAUCAGCAACGACGCGGUGAAUACGUUCCUGAGCCUUGUACACACCGCCCGUCAAGUCAUGGAAGCCGGGAGUACCCGAAG